AGCGAACGCUGGCGGCGUGCCUAACACAUGCAAGUCGAACGUGAAAGGGAGCAAUCCCAAGUAAAGUGGCGUACGGGUGAGUAACACGUAGGUAAUCUACCCCAGAAUCUGGAAUAACCGGCCGAAAGGCUGGCUAAUACUGGAUAGAGCGACGGAAUCCGUAAUUGGGUUUUUCGGGAAAGGGAGCCUGUAAAAAGGCCUUCGUUCUGGGAUGAGCCUGCGUCCCAUCAGCUAGUUGGUGAGGUAAAAGCUUACCAAGGCAAUGACGGGUAGCUGGUCUGAGAGGACGAUAAGCCACACUGGAACUGAAACACGGUCCAGACUCCUACGGGAGGCAGCAGUGGGGAAUCUUGCGCAAUGGACGAAAGUCUGACGCAGCAACGCCGCGUGAGUGAAGAAGGCCUUCGGGUUGUAAAGCUCUGUCGAGUGGGACGAAAAUGCUUGGAGUUCACAGCUCCAGGAACUGACGGUACCACUAAAGGAAGCACCGGCUAACUCCGUG
RNAcentral lists this ribosomal RNA (502 nucleotides) under uncultured bacterium. Its description in RNAcentral is "partial 16S ribosomal RNA". It matches the Rfam family "Bacterial small subunit ribosomal RNA", at positions 29 to 507 of the family's 1533-position model. The record is from RNAcentral.